Non-coding RNA from Arvicanthis niloticus (Nile rat), 1283 nucleotides. Lineage: Eukaryota; Metazoa; Chordata; Mammalia; Rodentia; Muridae. The record is from RefSeq and is a predicted model, not a curated record.
AUGGCCUUUGCAAAUCUGUGCAAAGUACUCAUUGGUGACAGCCUGGACCCCUGCUGCUGAAGAUCCUGCAAGAUGGAGGGCUGCAGGUGGUGGAAAAGCAGAACUGGAGCAAGGAGGAGCUGAUAGCCGAGCUGCAGGACUGUGAAGGCCUUAUUGUCCGGUCAGCUACUCAGCUCACUGCUGAUGUCAUCAACUCAGCAGAGAAGCUCCGGGUGGUGGGCAGGGCUGGUGCAGGUGUGGAUAGUGUGGAUCUGGAAGCUGCCAUGAGGAAGGGCAUCCUACUCAUGAACACUCCCAACGGAAACAGCAUUGUGGACAAGGUGCCCUGCAGUCUGGUCAGUGUGCUGGAACUGCACUGGGUGUAUUUACAGAAGAGCCACCAUAGAACUGGGCCUCACUGGACACGAGAAUGUCAUCAGCUGUCUCCAUCUGGGUGCCAGUACCAAGGAGGCCCAGAGCUGCUGUAGGGAGUUUAUGGACAUGGUGAAGGAGAAAUCUAAUGGGUCAUAAAUGCCCAGGCCCUUACCAGUGCCUUCUCUCCAUGUACUAAGCCUUGGAUUGGUCUGGCAGAAGCAUUGGGCACACUAAUGCACGCCUGCCCUCCAACCCCCAAAGGGACCAUCCAGGUGUUAUACAAGGAACAUCACUGAAGAAUGCUGGAACAUGCCUGAGCCCUGCAGUCAUUGUUGACCUUUUGAGAGAAGCAUCAAAGCAGGCAGAUGUAAACUUGGUGAAUGCUAAGAUACUGGUGAAAGAGGCUAGCCUCAAUGUAACUAUCUCCACAGCCCUGGGAUCCCAGGGGGUGGGACAGCAGGAAAUGCCUCCUGACUGUGGCCUUGGCAGGCGCUCCCUACCAAGCUGUGGGCUUGGUCCAGGACACUAUACCAGUGUUACAGGUGCUCAACAGAGCUGUCUUCAGGCCAGAGGUGCCACUACACAGGGGCCAGCUCCUGCUCAUGUUCCGUGCUCAACCCUCCAUCCUUGUAAUGCUGCCCAUUAUGAUCGGCCUCCUGGCAGAGGCCGGUGUACAGCUUCUGUCCUACCAAACCUCCAGGGUAUCUGAUGGAGAGAUCUGGCAUGUCAUGGGCCUCUCCUCCCCGCUGACCAGCCUGGAAGCAUGGAAGCGGCAUGUAUGCGAGGCUUUCCAGUUCUGCUUCUAACCCUGGGGCUCAGUGGGCCCAGCCCCUCAGGCUCUCCUGAAGAAACCUGCUCACUGUGACUUAUAGGGAGAGGAGAUUGUAGAACUGGGGCAUCUGCCUGAACUAAUAUCUAGUAAAGAAUUU